AUGGCACAAGAGCCAGGGUCCCCUUCCCAGCACACUGGAUGUGCCUGUGGCUUUCCUGUGUGCAGGAUCAACCCUGAAGCUCAGUCUUUAUCCCACAGACAAGGCAGACAGACAGAGACACAAACACAGACACAGAGACACACACAGAGACACAUGAAUCACACAGAGACAUAUAGACACAGAAAGAGAGACAUAAACACAGACACAGAGACACAGAGACAUAGAGACAUAGAGACAAAAACACAAACACACACACACAGAAACAGACAAACACACAGGCAUACAUACAGACUCUCACACACACAGGUACACUCUGAUUCACUCAGCCACACAACCUGCCCUGGACAAGCUGCUGCCUUCACCAUUGCCCACAUCCUCCCAGCAGAACCCCUCACGACACAAGAGGAGACAGCAAGGAGCACUCCAGGCUCCCUCAAGCACUGGCACAGCCCCUCUGCCCAUCCAACACCCCAGCCUGCAUCCUGCACCCUCUGCCCAGUCCCACGGCUGCCCUGCUCGCUGUCUGGCACAGCCUGCUGCUCCCAGCACCUGGAGGCAGCGCUCACACGCUCCCCCCAGGGCACCCCACACUCCCCAGACACACCCCCCAACUCCUCACAUCCCCCCACGCCCGGCACGGCCACACGGGCUCUGAGCUGUGCUCCUGCUCCAGCUACCAGUGCAGCUCCUCCUCACCCCACUCAUGCUUCUUCCCAGGAGCUGCUUCCGUGCACACUCGGGACCCACCCCAGAUCAGGGGGAAAAUCCUCCUUGUCCCUGCCCACAGCUGUGCCUGGGGUAUCCUGGUGGCCCUUCAAGGGGGACUGGAGAUUUUGGGAGCCAACUUGGACAGGUGCCCUCCGCGAUCUCUUGCUCAUUACCACAGAGGGUCUCUCCAGCCCAGCGCCCAUUGGUGGCCAUCUCAGCCACGGCCACCACAUGGCCACUGAACUUCAAAUCUCUGGUGACAGGAUGAAAAGUGCCAGCAAACCUUCAACCCUGGCCUUGAGGGGAGCAGGCUUCAGGCUGCUCAGGGGUGAAUUACAGAGGGCCCCUGGGAAAUGGCUCUGGAAGGUGCUGGGGUCCUGCCUUGGGGAUGGUUCGUACCCAGAGCCAGUUCAGUUUUGGUUUGUGUCGGGAGCUGUCACUGUAGCCCCCCGACUCAGGAAUAUGACGAAGGGUGAAGGGUGGCCCAGGACUCUGGGUGGGGCUGGGGCCAGGGGCUGCUCUUCCUUCCAUCAGGGGUGA
This 1248-nucleotide long non-coding RNA is filed under the name Cyanistes caeruleus (blue tit). RNAcentral's name for it is "lncRNA (ENSCCEG00000020108.1)". Lineage: Eukaryota; Metazoa; Chordata; Aves; Passeriformes; Paridae. The record is from RNAcentral.